CGAACGGGUGAGUAACGCGUGAGGAACCUGCCUCAAAGAGGGGGACAACAGUUGGAAACGACUGCUAAUACCGCAUAAGCCCACAGGUCGGCAUCGACCAGAGGGAAAAGGAGCGAUCCGCUUUGAGAUGGCCUCGCGUCCGAUUAGCUAGUUGGUGAGGUAAUGGCCCACCAAGGCAACGAUCGGUAGCCGGACUGAGAGGUUGAACGGCCACAUUGGGACUGAGACACGGACCAA
Molecule: ribosomal RNA, 237 nt
Filed under: uncultured bacterium
Lineage: Bacteria
Description: partial 16S ribosomal RNA
Rfam family: Bacterial small subunit ribosomal RNA
Source: RNAcentral